GGGGAUGUGGCGGAAUGGUAGACGCUACGGACUUAAACUCCGUUGGUUUUAAUAGACCGUGAGGGUUCAAGUCCCUCCAUCCCCA
Molecule: transfer RNA, 85 nt
Filed under: Chloropicon maureeniae
Lineage: Eukaryota; Viridiplantae; Chlorophyta; Chloropicophyceae; Chloropicales; Chloropicaceae
Also listed under: 2 other names
Description: tRNA-Leu
Rfam family: tRNA
About the family: Transfer RNA (tRNA) molecules are approximately 80 nucleotides in length. Their secondary structure includes four short double-helical elements and three loops (D, anti-codon, and T loops).
Source: RNAcentral